UACGGGGGGAGCAAGCGUUGUUCGGAGUUAUUGGGCGUAAAGGGCGUACAGGCGGUGGUGUAAGUCAGAUGUGAAAUGUUCCGGCUCAACCGGGAAGCUGCAUUUGAUACUGCAUCACUUGAGUACAGGAGAGGAGAGCGGAAUUGUCGGUGUAGCGGUGGAAUGUGUAGAUAUCGACAAGAACACCAGUGGCGAAGGCGGCUCUCUGGCCUGAUACUGACGCUGACGCGCGAAAGCUAGGGGAGCAAACAGG
This 253-nucleotide ribosomal RNA is filed under the name uncultured bacterium. RNAcentral describes it as "partial 16S ribosomal RNA". It matches the Rfam family "Bacterial small subunit ribosomal RNA", at positions 524 to 776 of the family's 1533-position model. The record is from RNAcentral.